GAUGAACGCUGGCGGCGUGCUUAACACAUGCAAGUCGAACGGUGAAGGCGGAGCUUGCCCUGCUGGAUCAGUGGCGAACGGGUGAGUAACACGUGAGCAAUCUGCCCCUGACUCUGGGAUAAGCGCUGGAAACGGCGUCUAAUACUGGAUACGAGCUGCGAAGGCAUCUUCAGCAGCUGGAAAGAAUUUCGGUCAGGGAUGAGCUCGCGGCCUAUCAGCUUGUUGGUGAGGUAAUGGCUCACCAAGGCGUCGACGGGUAGCCGGCCUGAGAGGGUGACCGGCCACACUGGGACUGAGACACGGCCCAGACUCCUACGGGAGGCAGCAGUGGGGAAUAUUGCACAAUGGGCGAAAGCCUGAUGCAGCAACGCCGCGUGAGGGACGACGGCCCUCGGGUUGUAAACCUCUUUUAGCAGGGAAGAAGCGAAAGUGACGGUACCUGCAGAAAAAGCGCCGGCUAACUACGUG
RNAcentral lists this ribosomal RNA (468 nucleotides) under uncultured bacterium. RNAcentral's name for it is "partial 16S ribosomal RNA". It matches the Rfam family "Bacterial small subunit ribosomal RNA", at positions 28 to 507 of the family's 1533-position model. The record is from RNAcentral.